RNAcentral lists this ribosomal RNA (329 nucleotides) under uncultured eukaryote. Its description in RNAcentral is "partial 18S ribosomal RNA". It matches the Rfam family "Eukaryotic small subunit ribosomal RNA", at positions 1470 to 1796 of the family's 1831-position model. The record is from RNAcentral.
CCCGUAGAUGUUCUGGGCCGCACGCGCGCUACACUGAUGCAUUCAACGAGUCUAAAACCUGCUCUGAUAGGGGUGGGUAAUCUUUUGAAUGUGCAUCGUGAUUGGGAUAGAUGAUUGCAAUUUUUCAUCUUCAACGAGGAAUGCCUAGUAAACGCAAGUCAUCAGCUUGCAUUGAUUACGUCCCUGCCCUUUGUACACACCGCCCGUCGCUCCUACCGAUUGAAUGAUCCGAUGAAUAUCAUGGAUUGAGGAUGCAAGCAGGUUCGCCUGUCUUCAUCUUCGAGAAGUGAAGUAAAUCUUAUCAUUUAGAGGAAGGAGAAGUCGUAACA